GAAUGUGAGGGCAAUCUGACUGCGACAUCUGUUACCCCAUUCAUCACCAGGGUUGAUUCAGCUGAUCUGACUGGCUAGGUGGUGUCCCCUUCCUCCCUCACCACUCCAUGUGCGUCCCCCCAAGCUGCACGCUUGGUUGAAGAGGACGACCUUCCCUGAUAGGAGGACCAUCCUUCAGUCAAGGGUAUAUGAGUAGCUGCACUCCCCUGCUAGAACCUCCAAACAAGUCUCAAGGUCAAAAUAAAGGUGAUCUAACAGAAUGUGGAAAUGUAAAAAAUAUAUCAUUAAUAUCACAUGCAAGUACAAUUUUGCUGAAAAUAAGUUUAAAAUG
RNAcentral lists this small nuclear RNA (331 nucleotides) under Echinops telfairi (small Madagascar hedgehog). RNAcentral describes it as "7SK RNA (ENSETEG00000024526.1)". It matches the Rfam family "7SK RNA". Rfam says of the family: 7SK was discovered as an abundant small nuclear RNA in the mid-70s but a possible function has only recently been suggested. Lineage: Eukaryota; Metazoa; Chordata; Mammalia; Afrosoricida; Tenrecidae. The record is from RNAcentral.